AAUGAACGCUGGCGGCAGGCCUAACACAUGCAAGUCGAACGAGGUAGCAAUACCUAGUGGCGGACGGGUGAGUAACGCGUGGGAACGUGCCCCUUGGUACGGAAUAGCCCUGGGAAACUGGGAGUAAUACCGUAUGUGGUCGAGAGACGAAAGAUUUAUCGCCAAGGGAUCGGCCCGCGUUGGAUUAGGUAGUUGGUGGGGUAAUGGCCUACCAAGCCGACGAUCCAUAGCGGGUUUGAGAGGAUGAUCAGACACACUGGGACUGAGACACGGCCCAGACUCCUACGGGAGGCAGCAGUGGGGAAUCUUAGACAAUGGGGGAAACCCUGAUCUAGCCAUGCCGCGUGAUCGAUGAAGGCCUUAGGGUUGUAAAGAUCUUUCAGUGGGGAAGAUAAUGACGGUACCCACAGAAGAAGCCCCGGCUAACUCCGUGCCAGCAGCCGCGGUAA
This 449-nucleotide ribosomal RNA is filed under the name uncultured bacterium. RNAcentral describes it as "partial 16S ribosomal RNA". It matches the Rfam family "Bacterial small subunit ribosomal RNA", at positions 29 to 523 of the family's 1533-position model. The record is from RNAcentral.